UCUGUGUUCUGAUUGGACAUUUAAAGCAGCGCCAUCAUUGAUGGUAUCAGAUCCAUUUCACACGUUGUUGAAGUUCAGUCUGAAGUCACUUUAAGUCUCAAAGCUUCACUUUAACCUGCAAAGACCAACAAUGUCUCAUUUCCUACUGAUUCUUCUCCCCACACUGCACCACUACACCGGAUAUCAGGACUCCACACUCUCCAAACUCCCAGUGUUAAAAUUCAGUCAUGAAACAUUUUGGCAGAUACAAGAAGAUUCUUCUACUGUUUUCUCUUCUUCAGUUUUUAAAGAUGAACAUCAUGAUCCACACUGACACACAUUCAUAUUCUUUGGUUCCCUGGAUUAAAACGGAGCCUCUGCUCUUUAUUUAUCCUGUGCUUGUUUCUCGACUCACAGUUCAGUCUGUUAAACCUGCUUCCUGCAAUAGGAGCAAAUAUCCACUGAAAGCAGCAGAAAGACGUGCUGAGUGUGAAGCUGUCAGCAGGGGGAAUAACACAGGGCUGUGAAUGAGUCCUGUCACUGUGAUCAGGCUCCUCCUUCUAAUCCACCAACUUAGUGUUGAUGAAGACUAAACAGAGAGAUCACAGCUUCUUUAUACUUGCUGUAGCUCACAGUUACUCUACACUGCAGAUAUGACGCCUCUGUUCAUCUCAGUGCUGCUGGCUGCUAUGUGCCUCGAAUGCAGAGCACAAAAAGACAACGUGCUGCAAGCAAAAGGAGAAGAGACUGCUGCUGCAGGAGGCACAGUGACACUUCACUGUCUCUAUAACGGCAGUGCAACAACUAAUUAUCUCUUCUGGUACAAACAGGAUGGAAACAACAGCCCCGAAUUCAUCCUGAUGCGCUAUAGUGGGGAUCAAGGAAACACAGCAGACGAGUUCAAGGAGAGAUUUUCAUCCACACUGGAUUCCAGCAUCAGAUCAGUUCCUCUGAAGAUCCAGAAGCUUCAGCUGUCUGACUCUGCUGUGUACUACUGUGCUCUGCGGCCCACAGUGACAGGAAACAGCAAAACUCUGUACAAAAACCUUUGGAGCAAAGACAACAGAAUACUCCACAACAUCCACUAGAGGGAGCCACACACU
Molecule: non-coding RNA, 1082 nt
Organism: Haplochromis burtoni (Burton's mouthbrooder)
Lineage: Eukaryota; Metazoa; Chordata; Actinopteri; Cichliformes; Cichlidae
Source: the annotation of a RefSeq genome assembly